UACGGAGGGUGCAAGCGUUAUCCGGAUUUACUGGGUUUAAAGGGUGCGUAGGUGGGUCUUUAAGUCAGUGGUGAAAUCUCCAAGCUCAACUUGGAAACUGCCAUUGAUACUAUUGACCUUGAAUUCUGCGGAGGUUAGCGGAAUAAAUCAUGUAGCGGUGAAAUGCUUAGAUAUGAUUUAGAACACCGAUUGCGAAGGCA
RNAcentral lists this ribosomal RNA (200 nucleotides) under uncultured bacterium. RNAcentral describes it as "partial 16S ribosomal RNA". It matches the Rfam family "Bacterial small subunit ribosomal RNA", at positions 524 to 723 of the family's 1533-position model. The record is from RNAcentral.